GGCGAUCAGAUACCGCCCUAGUUCUGACCGUAAACGAUGCCAACUAGCGAUCCGCCAGUCGACUCAUCGCUCUGGUGGGGAGCUUUCCGGAAACGAAAGUCUUCCGGUUCCGGGGGAAGUAUGGUUGCAAAGCUGAAACUUAAAGGAAUUGACGGAAGGGCACCACCAGGAGUGGAGCCUGCAGCUUAAUUUGACUCAACACGGGGAAACUCACCCGGCCCGGACACCGUAAGGAUUGACAGAUUGAUAGCUUUUUCAUGAUUCGGUGGAUGGUGGUGCAUGGCCGUUCUUAGUUCGUGGAGCGAUUUGUCUGGUUUAUUCCGAUAACGAGCGAGACUCUGGCCUACUAAAUAGUUGACGCAUUGCCACUGUGCGCACAACUUCUUAGAGGGAUUUUCGGUGUUUUCAACCGCACGAAAUUGAGCAAUAACAGGUCUGUGAUGCCCUUAGAUGUCCGGGGCUGCACGCGCGCUACACUGGCAAACGCAACGUGCCUGUCCUGCCCCGAAAGGAGCGGGUAAACCCCUGAAAUUUUGCCGUGAUUGGGAUCGGACAUUGCAACUAUUGUCCGUGAACGAGGAAUUCCUUGUAGGGGCGAGUCAUCAACUCAUCCCGAAUACGUCCCUGCCC
Molecule: ribosomal RNA, 630 nt
Filed under: Rotylenchulus reniformis
Lineage: Eukaryota; Metazoa; Nematoda; Chromadorea; Rhabditida; Hoplolaimidae
Description: SSU rRNA
Rfam family: Eukaryotic small subunit ribosomal RNA
Source: RNAcentral